UUCUGCCUGGCUCCCUGUAUGCCAUCUAAGAACAGAGAUGUCAAAAUUGUUGACACUCAUCCUAGGUGGCAUCAGAGGAGUCAGGCAGAU
This 90-nucleotide microRNA precursor is filed under the name Ipomoea nil (Japanese morning glory). RNAcentral's name for it is "mir-160 microRNA precursor family". It matches the Rfam family "mir-160 microRNA precursor family". Rfam says of the family: The hairpin precursors (represented here) are predicted based on base pairing and cross-species conservation -- their extents are not known. In this case the mature sequence is excised from the 5' arm of the hairpin. The record is from Rfam by way of RNAcentral. Lineage: Eukaryota; Viridiplantae; Streptophyta; Magnoliopsida; Solanales; Convolvulaceae.